This is an RNA transcript of Amborella trichopoda, 2232 nucleotides long. It is a transcript of the gene named transcription termination factor MTERF8, chloroplastic, with no coding region annotated. The record is from RefSeq and is a predicted model, not a curated record. Lineage: Eukaryota; Viridiplantae; Streptophyta; Magnoliopsida; Amborellales; Amborellaceae.
UUUUUUCAACUUGGAUCAAAAACCGUUGUUUCCCGAUGGGGGAGGGAGCGGCGUAUUUGCAGAAGAGGAGUGAGAAACGGCCCAUGCUCCUCCCUUUCCCGGUAUGUUUCUCUCUCUCUCUCUCUCUACUAAAUUGUGACAUUGUAACCCUUCAAGAUCUCUUUCUCUCUACCAGCUCCACUGUUUCCUUUCCUUUACCAGUCACAAAUCUCCCUCUCCAUCUUCAAUGGUGUUUCUAUAACGUCUUCGAAGUAAUGGCUUUGGAAAAACUCCAGGCACUCUCUCUCUUGAAACCCCACUAUGUAUUUUCCCUUCUCAUUCCUUUUCCUUCUUUCUCUUCUUCCUUUGAACUCUAUUCCACAAAAACCUCUCUUCUCACUCCGUCUCCUUCUCUCACUGGACAUGGACUUCUCUUAAGUGCUUCUCCUCCUUCUUCUUCUUCUUCAAUUGUUAAUCUUCUAAUGGACUCACUUGGCCUCUCUAAAGAAUCAGCCUUGGCCGUUGCCUCUUCUUCCCGGUUGGGCCUCAAUAAACCCACCAAAAAUCCGAUAUGUGUGCUAAAAUUCCUCAAAGACUCUGGUUUUCAUGAUGCCCAUAUCUGUUCCAUUGUAACGAAGAGCCCCAAGAUUCUUGUGGCCAAUGUUGAGAAAACCCUAAAACCCAAGUUUGAAAUGCUCGAAGAUUUGGGUCUCUCUGGUCCUGAUCUCGGGGCGUUUCUAUCUCCACGUGCAUUCAUCGUCUAUUACAGUGCAGAGAAGAGGAUCGCCCCAACCAUUGAAUUCCUCAAAAGCUAUUUGAAAACCAAUGAAAAUGUUCUUAGAGUUCUGAGAAAUAGUUGGACGCUUUCAUUUCCCAUUGAGGAAAGAAUCCUACCCAAUAUGAGGUGCAUGGAGAGCUAUGGAGUUGGUCCCUCACAACUGCAACAAUUGACAAUCGUCCGGCCUAGGUUGCUUUCUCAUAACCCCAAAAGACUUAAGGAAAAUUGUGAGAAAAUUAUAGAGAUGGGCUUUAAUCCGAAUUCUUUGAUGUUUGCUCAUGCUCUUCAUGCAUUCAGCUCGAUGAAUAAGGAGACAUGGCAGGCAAAAGUUGACAUUUUUAAGAGUUUUGGGUGCUCGGAAGAUCAUGUAUUUUCAAUGUUUCGGAGGGCACCUUAUACAAUGUCUCUCUCGGUGAAGAAGUUGAAGGAAACAAUGGAGUAUUUUGUUAACAAACAAAAGGAUGUUUUGUUCCAUUUGAUUAUGAAUCCAAAAAUUUUUGGUUAUAGCUUGGGGGGAAGGGUGAUACCGAGGAACAAUGUUUUGCAAGCUUUGAGAUCGAAGAAGUUGCUCAAGAAGGAUGUGAAAUUAUCAUCAGUUUGUUUGUUGUCGGAGAGGAUAUUCUUGCAAAAAUUUGUGGGGUGUUUUGGAGAAGAGGCAGAUUACUUGCGCCGGAUCUAUGAAGAAAGCAAGGGCAACCCAGAAAUGAUUCUAUGAUCAUGGGUUCCAUGGAGGCUUCCUUGCUUUUUGAUUGUUGAAUCAAAGCUAGGGGCAGAAAUUGAUCUGAAGAACAUCACAAGGUUCUCAAGUGUUGCAUCUAAUUUCUAGUACACCAUUUUGAGUAAAUCAGAUAAAAAAUUCAAAAGCACGGAAGAAGGCAUUGAACCCACAAAGAAAAUGAGAACAAAACUCUAGACUGUUGUGGAACUUUGCUUUUGGCUUUCCUUAUGACCGACGCUUGUGCUUCUCUACCUUUUUUACUUCAUAAUCCUUGUAUUAAUGGUUCAAGUUGGAGAGUUAAUCCAUUCUGAACUUUUGUAUCAUUCACUUAAUGAUUAAUGAAUCUUGAAUGGAACACGAUUUUUGUAGCCCCCACCCCCCACCCCCCCAAAAGAUUUGGGAUAAAGCUCGGAUGUAUCAUUCAUUUAAUGACAACAAAACUGUUUUUACACUUGAGGAUGUGCUAUUGACAACUUUAAAAAAAAAAAAGGAUGUACUGUUGGCCUUUUUAUUUGAACUUUUUGAGUUUUGAAAUAGAUAUAAGCACAUUAAACAUCUAAUGGACACACUAAAUGCAAGUGCUGCAUCAAAUUAGCUGAUUUUGGAUAUCUAAACAAUUUAACUGUGCAAAAAUCGGAUGGUCUGUCUUUUUAGAGAACUGUGCAAAAAUCGGAUAGUCCCUAUGCAAUAUUUUGACAUCAAAAUUUCGAAGCAUUUACAAAGUCUGAUUAACCUUUUUUCUAUUGGAUGGAUUGCU